AUGACGAGGCAUACAGUUUGCAAAAGAACAUCCUCAAACCAUAUCCAUGGGAAACCAAUCACGAAUGCAAGAUCAAACAUUAAAUUGGAAGACCUUCCACAGGAUGUGCUCUGCACAAUUGUAUCAAAGUUGCCUCCUAAAGAGGUCUCAAGGGCUAGUGUUUUGUCAAGUAAUUGGAGAUAUAUCUGUGCUACUUGUUGCUAUAAAUUAUGUUUCACUGUUCCUGCUGGGUAUCCCCAUCGUAUUCUUGAAAGAAAAGAAUACUGCCAACGUAUGCAGGAAUUCAUCAAUAAUGUUAACGCGGUAGUAAGAAAUUGCCAUGGCAAGUUGAUUGAAGAAUUCAAUAUAAAAUUGCAGUUUGACAACAUGUUCGUUGAUCAUCUGAAUGAUUGGGUUAAUUUUGCGGUGUCAGCACAGAUAAGGAAGAUAGCUUUCUACUUAGAUCCAAAUAAACUGGGGCUUUGGGAUCCUGAUCAUUACGAAUUUCCAUUUCACCUCUUGGAUAGUGAAAGCAUAUAA
RNAcentral lists this ribosomal RNA (519 nucleotides) under Triticum aestivum (bread wheat). Its description in RNAcentral is "partial small subunit ribosomal RNA". Lineage: Eukaryota; Viridiplantae; Streptophyta; Magnoliopsida; Poales; Poaceae. The record is from RNAcentral.